Molecule: long non-coding RNA, 2535 nt
Organism: Oncorhynchus kisutch (coho salmon)
Lineage: Eukaryota; Metazoa; Chordata; Actinopteri; Salmoniformes; Salmonidae
Exons: 4
Source: RefSeq, a predicted model, not a curated record
UCACUAUCAAUACAUUUGGAUAUAAACCUAAAAUCUAUUCUGGAUUAUCUGGAACCUGUUUUGUUACUCCAAGUGAACAAUCUGCCGGCCAUAAACCUCUCUCCAUGUAUCAGUAAGAUCAAACUGUUUCAUAAAAAGUAUUAAACCCAAAUUCUGACAGGUUGAAGAAAAAAAAGACACCCUCGUUCACUUACCCUCGCCUUAUAUCCUUGGGGUAAUCCCUGUCACCAUUUUGGAUGUUGGUCCAAACGAUUAGCCAAACAAGGAUUAUUCGCAAUGUAAGCCCCUCAGCCCUUCUUUCUGAUCGAGUUUACGAGUGUACAAUUAUUUUCACUUCAGGCCCGAAACGCCCCACAAUUCAAUUCGCGAUGAUUGUACAUCCGCCAAGAAAAAUAAGCCAAAACUUUAGACCUCAACGUCAAUAUGGAUAAGUAAACAUACAAGUAAUCUAAUGUAAAAAGGUUAGAAAUUGUGCUACUGAUGGACAUGACGGCACAAACACAUCUCAUAAAAGUAGUCAUAUUUUUGUUUGGUUUGCUUUUGGAAUUUUUUUAAUUAAACAUUUUCCUUCUUCAGAAGUUCCAGCUAGGCAGGCUAACUUUAUUUAGCUAAUUAAUUUGCUAGCUAUCAUACAGUAGGCAUAUAUUAAUAAUUAUAUAGUUAAUAUAGACAUGCAAUCAUAAUUGACUGUAGCACAUAUAAAGCACCCACAAGCUACCGGUGGCUGAAAACACAAUCAUCUCUGGAUGAACAGUGACAAAUUUCCAUUUGAAAAUAAUUCCUUCCGCCCUUGCCCUGCAAGUGUAUACUUGUCAGACUUCAUUUAACAUCAUCAGAAGUGUCCACUUAAUUUGAGGGCUGAGGGGAUAGGGUGUCUUUUAAGUGUUUGGAAUGCUGCCCAUGAGUCAUUGUGGAAAAUGUUACAUUUGUCAGUACUAUACACAAUGCAUGCAUUUCAUUACAGCAUGUUGUUUCAUCAGACACUGGGCUGAGGACGUGUGGGAGGACCGCAUCACAAAUACAUGGGUUAGAUUAAUAUUAAUCUUUGGCUGCAUUCAUCCUGAAGUAGAGACCAAGGUGGAAAUAAUGGGAUUCGGAUACUUACCGACCUUCCUACAACAAGAGUCAACAGUCUUUGAGCCCCACCUUGUACCAGACAUUUUGAUAAGGUAUGCAAAGUAUAGGUGUUCAACUGAUCCUGGCUAGGGGGCUGAUGUUUCUUUGGGGGGGCUUUAUUUGCACCCUGCCUGGAGAAAGAUGUGUGUAUUAACCAGACAGUCCGAAUCCACCCAUCCUCAAACUUGGUUCCCGUGUAUUAGUGAAUGUUUGUGUACCAUUUCAUUCAGGAUCCGAUGCUGAAAGGACAGCGCUGUUUCAUCUUGGCUGACGGCUUUUAUGAAUGGAGGCAGGAGAAAGACAAGCAGCCCUUCAUCUAUUUCCCCCAGACUCAAGGAUCUGCUCACGUGAAAACAGAGGACCAGGAUGAGGGGACACCCUAUAAGGAGGAUACAGACAUGCAUGUCUGAAGAAGGCUCUGUAGACCUGGAAGAGGACAAAGGAGUCUGUGAGUGGAGAGGAUGGCUGUUGCUGACCAUUGCAGGACUGUUUGACUGAUGGACUCCCCAUAGUGGAGAUCCCCUCUAGACCUACACUGUGAUCACUCUGGGUACAUCCCCUAUCAUCAAGGCAUCCAUGACCGGAUGCCAGCGAUUCUCAACAGAGGUUAGAAGAUUGCUGGAUUUUGGAGCUCAAGCCCUCAGCUGGCAGUAAGAUGAUGAUGGGCUGGCUAAAGAGCAGCACACCCUCCAAGAGGAAAGAGCCAGACACUGGGGAAGUCAAACAGGAGGGCCACACAGGAGAAACCAGGCCUGAGAAGCAGCCGAAGACCGCAGGGCCUCUCCAACAGUGGCUGCAGGGACCCAGUAAGAAACCCAGGAUCAACUGAGUGGUUGGGACAAACAUUGACUGACUUUGAAAAGAGAUGGGAACAGACUGAAGAAUGUAUGUCUUAUUGUCUUGAGAUGGAAGAGCGCAAAUGGUUUGAUUAUUUUUAUGUCUGGUGUAGGUUGAAGAUAAUGUAAUUAAACAUUUGACAGAUUUCGAUGGUCCCGUGUUCUGUCAACUUUCACAAGUGACCAAUUUUUAUAUUUCAGUAUAAGUAGUAGACUGAAUACAAAUACCAAGUGAGUGCCCCCAUGCAAAAUGACACAUUUCAAUGUAUUCAAGAGUAUACUAUAGAUUUGAGUAAACUGUCUUUCAACAGCUGUGUGUAUGAGAGCCAUGAUAGUAACCUACUGUGCUUUAACUACCUGUUCUACUUGCACUAACACACACAGAUUCUUUAUUCAAUAACCAUUAUUACUACCUGAAACCCAAAGACAUUUUCAAACAAUGUAGAUUAAGUGCAUUUAUCAUUUCAUUAACUUGAUUAAAGCUAACACAUUUCCCCCAUAUGUCCUCUGAUGCAAUUCAAAUUCUAAACAUAAUAUGUGAACAGACAAAAGAUCUGAUCGGUAAAAAACAAAACAAAUCAAG